ACGAACGCUGGCGGCGUGCUUCACACAUGCAAGUCGAACGGAAAGGCCCUGCUUUUGUGGGGUGCUCGAGUGGCGAACGGGUGAGUAACACGUGAGUAACCUGCCCUUGACCUUGGGAUAACUUCAGGAAACUGGGGCUAAUACCGGAUAGGAGCUCCUGCUGCAUGGUGGGGGUUGGAAAGUUUCGGCGGUUGGGGAUGGACUCGCGGCUUAUCAGCUUGUUGGUGGGGUAGUGGCUUACCAAGGCUUUGACGGGUAGCCGGCCUGAGAGGGUGACCGGCCACAUUGGGACUGAGAUACGGCCCAGACUCCUACGGGAGGCAGCAGUGGGGAAUAUUGCACAAUGGGCGGAAGCCUGAUGCAGCAACGCCGCGUGCGGGAUGACGGCCUUCGGGUUGUAAACCGCUUUCGCCUGUGACGAAGCGUGAGUGACGGUAAUGGGUAAAGAAGCACCGGCUAACUACGUG
Molecule: ribosomal RNA, 467 nt
Filed under: uncultured bacterium
Lineage: Bacteria
Description: partial 16S ribosomal RNA
Rfam family: Bacterial small subunit ribosomal RNA
Source: RNAcentral